AUUGAACGCUGGCGGCAUGCCUUACACAUGCAAGUCGAACGGCAGCACGGGAGCAAUCCUGGUGGCGAGUGGCGAACGGGUGAGUAAAGUAUCGGAACGUGUCCAGUCGUGGGGGAUAACGUAGCGAAAGUUACGCUAAUACCGCAUACGAUCUAUGGAAGAAAGCGGGGUAUCGCAAGACCUCGCGCGAUUGGAGCGGCCGAUAUCAGAUGAGGUAGUUGGUGGGGUAAAGGCUCACCAAGCCGACGAUCUGUAGCUGGUCUGAGAGGACGACCAGCCACACUGGGACUGAGACACGGCCCAGACUCCUACGGGAGGCAGCAGUGGGGAAUUUUGGACAAUGGGCGAAAGCCUGAUCCAGCCAUGCCGUGUGCAGGAUGAAGGCCUUCGGGUUGUAAACUGCUUUUGUACGGAACGAAAAGGUUUGGCCUAAUAAGCUGAGCUCAUGACGGUACCGUAAGAAUAAGCACCGGCUAACUACGUGCCAGCCGCCGCGGUAA
RNAcentral lists this ribosomal RNA (500 nucleotides) under uncultured bacterium. RNAcentral describes it as "partial 16S ribosomal RNA". It matches the Rfam family "Bacterial small subunit ribosomal RNA", at positions 30 to 523 of the family's 1533-position model. The record is from RNAcentral.